AGAGUUUGAUCCUGGCUCAGGACGAACGCUGGUGGCGUGCCUAAUACAUGCAAGUCGAGCGGAUUGAUGGGAGCUUGCUCCCUGAUAUCAGCGGCGGACGGGUGAGUAACACGUGGGCAACCUGCCUGUAAGACUGGGAUAACUUCGGGAAACCGGAGCUAAUACCGGAUAAUCCUUUUCCUCUCAUGAGGAAAAGCUGAAAGACGGUUUCGGCUGUCACUUACAGAUGGGCCCGCGGCGCAUUAGCUAGUUGGUGAGGUAACGGCUCACCAAGGCGACGAUGCGUAGCCGACCUGAGAGGGUGAUCGGCCACACUGGGACUGAGACACGGCCCAGACUCCUACGGGAGGCAGCAGUAGGGAAUCUUCCGCAAUGGACGAAAGUCUGACGGAGCAACGCCGCGUGAGCGAAGAAGGCCUUCGGGUCGUAAAGCUCUGUUGUUAGGGAAGAACAAGUAUCGGAGUAACUGUCGGUACCUUGACGGUACCUAACCAGAAAGCCACGGCUAACUACGUGCCAGCAGCCGCGGUAAUACGUAGGUGGCAAGCGUUGUCCGGAAUUAUUGGGCGUAAAGCGCGCGCAGGCGGUUCCUUAAGUCUGAUGUGAAAGCCCCCGGCUCAACCGGGGAGGGUCAUUGGAAACUGGGGAACUUGAGUGCAGAAGAGAAGAGCGGAAUUCCACGUGUAGCGGUGAAAUGCGUAGAGAUGUGGAGGAACACCAGUGGCGAAGGCGGCUCUUUGGUCUGUAACUGACGCUGAGGCGCGAAAGCGUGGGGAGCGAACAGGAUUAGAUACCCUGGUAGUCCACGCCGUAAACGAUGAGUGCUAAGUGUUAGAGGGUUUCCGCCCUUUAGUGCUGCAGCAAACGCAUUAAGCACUCCGCCUGGGGAGUACGGCCGCAAGGCUGAAACUCAAAGGAAUUGACGGGGGCCCGCACAAGCGGUGGAGCAUGUGGUUUAAUUCGAAGCAACGCGAAGAACCUUACCAGGUCUUGACAUCCUCUGACACUCCUAGAGAUAGGACGUUCCCCUUCGGGGGACAGAGUGACAGGUGGUGCAUGGUUGUCGUCAGCUCGUGUCGUGAGAUGUUGGGUUAAGUCCCGCAACGAGCGCAACCCUUGAUCUUAGUUGCCAGCAUUUAGUUGGGCACUCUAAGGUGACUGCCGGUGACAAACCGGAGGAAGGUGGGGAUGACGUCAAAUCAUCAUGCCCCUUAUGACCUGGGCUACACACGUGCUACAAUGGAUGGUACAAAGGGUCGCAAAACCGCGAGGUCGAGCCAAUCCCAUAAAACCAUUCUCAGUUCGGAUUGUAGGCUGCAACUCGCCUACAUGAAGCUGGAAUCGCUAGUAAUCGCGGAUCAGCAUGCCGCGGUGAAUACGUUCCCGGGCCUUGUACACACCGCCCGUCACACCACGAGAGUUUGUAACACCCGAAGUCGGUGGGGUAACCGUAAGGAGCCAGCCGCCUAAGGUGGGACAGAUGAUUGGGGUGAAGUCGUAACAAGGUA
Molecule: ribosomal RNA, 1508 nt
Filed under: Bacillus sp. (in: firmicutes)
Lineage: Bacteria; Bacillati; Bacillota; Bacilli; Caryophanales; Bacillaceae
Description: bacterial SSU rRNA
Rfam family: Bacterial small subunit ribosomal RNA
Source: RNAcentral